Molecule: long non-coding RNA, 443 nt
Organism: Micropterus salmoides (largemouth bass)
Lineage: Eukaryota; Metazoa; Chordata; Actinopteri; Centrarchiformes; Centrarchidae
Exons: 4
Source: RefSeq, a predicted model, not a curated record
AAACACCGCUAUAAGUACCGCCCUCUUUGUUCGUCACAUCCUCUUUCCGUUGCUCUUCUCGCUUUGAGAAACUUCUCCACACGAUGAGAGCCAAGUGGAGGAAGAAGCGUAUGCGCAGGCUGAAGCGUAAAAGGAGAAAGAUGAGGCAGAGGUCAAAGUAAGCCCUCAUCCCUGCCAGCUGUGAUCCCGUCAGAGCUUCUCCAGAUGGACUGACGCAUGUGGCUGAAGUGGAGCCUCAGUCGGAACAGAGGCCUAAACCCUGAUUUCGGAUGACCCGGCGUCUCAUGGAGCCAGUUGUGACUGUCCGACUGGAAGAUGGCAAAGAUGCUGGAUGGAUCUCACAACAUCAGAACUACAGCUGUUUUGUUCAUGGACCUUGAUGCAUGCAUUUAACAACAGUCAUGUGGUGUUUUGAACAAUAAAUGAACACUGUUAAAAUUUUA